RNAcentral lists this unclassified non-coding RNA (292 nucleotides) under uncultured fungus. RNAcentral's name for it is "sequence contains ITS1". Lineage: Eukaryota; Fungi. The record is from RNAcentral.
GGACUACAAGGGUUUCUAAUCCUGUUUGCUCCCCACGCUUUCGAGCCUCAACGUCAGUUACUGUCCAGUAAGCCGCCUUCGCCACUGGUGUUCCUCCUAAUAUCUACGCAUUUCACCGCUACACUAGGAAUUCCACUUACCUCUCCAGCACUCUAGCAUGGCAGUUUCCAAAGCAGUUCAGGGGUUAAGCCCCUGCCUUUCACUUCAGACUUGCCGCGCCGUCUACGCUCCCUUUACACCCAGUAAAUCCGGAUAACGCUUGCCCCCUACGUAUUACCGCGGCGGCUGGCAC